This 314-nucleotide ribosomal RNA is filed under the name uncultured bacterium. RNAcentral's name for it is "partial 16S ribosomal RNA". It matches the Rfam family "Bacterial small subunit ribosomal RNA", at positions 495 to 807 of the family's 1533-position model. The record is from RNAcentral.
GUAUAAGAGACAGCAGCCGCCGCGGUAAUACAGAGGGUGCGAGCGUUAAUCGGAUUUACUGGGCGUAAAGCGUGCGUAGGCGGCUUUUUAAGUCGGAUGUGAAAUCCCUGAGCUUAACUUAGGAAUUGCAUUCGAUACUGGGAAGCUAGAGUAUGGGAGAGGAUGGUAGAAUUCCAGGUGUAGCGGUGAAAUGCGUAGAGAUCUGGAGGAAUACCGAUGGCGAAGGCAGCCAUCUGGCCUAAUACUGACGCUGAGGUACGAAAGCAUGGGGAGCAAACAGGAUUAGAGACCCGAGUAGUCCCUGUCUCUUAUAC